This 442-nucleotide ribosomal RNA is filed under the name uncultured bacterium. RNAcentral describes it as "bacterial SSU rRNA". It matches the Rfam family "Bacterial small subunit ribosomal RNA", at positions 336 to 795 of the family's 1533-position model. The record is from RNAcentral.
UUCCUACGGGGGGCUGCAGUUAGGAAUUUUGGGCAAUGGGCGGAAGCCUGACCCAGCAACGCCGCGUGGGUGACGAAGGCCCUCGGGUCGUAAAGCCCUUUUCCCAGGGAAGAUAGUGACGGUACCUGGGGAAUCAGCCCCGGCUAACUACGUGCCAGCAGCCGCGGUAAUACGUAGGGGGCAAGCGUUGUCCGGAUUUAUUGGGCGUAAAGCGCUCGCAGGUGGUUCGUUGCGUCGUGCGUGAAAGACCCCGGCUCAACUGGGGAGUGUCGUGCGAAACGGGCGGACUAGAGGCCAGUAGGGGGAUGCGGAAUUCCGGGUGUAGUGGUGGAAUGCGUAGAGAUCCGGAGGAACACCAGCGGCGAAGGCGGCAUCCUGGACUGGUCCUGACACUCAGGAGCGAAAGCGUGGGGAGCGAUCCGGAUUAGAUACCCCUGUAGUC